RNAcentral lists this ribosomal RNA (254 nucleotides) under uncultured bacterium. Its description in RNAcentral is "partial 16S ribosomal RNA". It matches the Rfam family "Bacterial small subunit ribosomal RNA", at positions 524 to 773 of the family's 1533-position model. The record is from RNAcentral.
UACGUAGGGUGCGAGCGUUAAUCGGAAUUACUGGGCGUAAAGCGCGCGUAGGUGGUUUGUUAAGUUGGAUGUGAAAUCCCCCGGGCGUCAACCUGGGAACGUGCAUUAGUGACUGUAUAGCUAGAGUGCGGCAGAGGGGGGUAGGAAUUCCACGUGUAGCAGUGAAAUGCGUAGAUAUGUGGAGGAAUACCGAUGGCGAAGGCAGCCCCUCGGGAUAACACUGACGCUCAUGCACGAAAGCGUGGGGAGCAAAC